CAAUUUUACUGGACUAAGGGUUUGUCAGAUAGCCAGUGAAAUAUUAUUUUUGGGUAUGUCUGUGGAUGUGUUUCUGGAAGAGAUUAGAAUUUGAAUCAGAACACAGAGUAAAGCAGAUGGCCCUCCCCAGUGUGGGUGGGCAUCAUCCGAUCUGGUGAGAGCCCCAGUAUAACAAAAAGACAGAGGAAGGGUGAAUUAGUUUUCUCUGUUUGAGCCGAGACAUCCAUUCCCUUCUGCCCUUGGAAGUUAGACAUCAGCUUCUGGUUCAUGUGGCUUUGGAUUCAGAUUGGGUUUUCCACUAAUUAGAACCACUUCCCUCCCUCCCACUCUUGGUGGGUGAAUUCUUUGAUGGCCUGCCUAUAAUUCCUACUUCAGGUCUCUGGUACAUAGAUAGCUUUUGCUAGAUACAGGAUGCAAGAUUAUAAAAUUGAUUUUGUUUUCUCUUCAGUUCUCAUAUAGCUCUUAGAAUGUGGAAGUAGCAUAUGCUUCAUUUUAGUUUGAGAUAGAGUUACAAGAUGUAUUGUUUUCAUGAUAAAAGAGAACUUUUUUUUUUUUGCUAAGGAUUGAAGUAUAUGGCUGUGACUUUUGUAUAAUACAUAUUUAAGAAAUAUUUGGAUAUAUAAAUAAUAUAUAUAUAUAUAUAUGUAAUUUUUUUCCAGUGAAGAGUAAGGGCCUAUGCUGUGUGCUAUGCAGUAUAAGGACGAAUUAUGACAUAUAAAGCUUAGAGUUCCUAGUGUAUAUAACUGAAAUAUAGGUAGGCCGGUAUGUAAGUGCUAUGAAAAUAGAAAUGACAAGAAGGGCAUUAGGUGCUCCGAGUAGAAAGAAGUCACAUCUGGCUGUUAUUCAGUAAAAGGCUCAAAGAAGAGGCAGUAUCUGAAUAGAACCUAAAUGAGAUAGGGAAAUGGUAUUCCCAGCCCAGGAUAUAGCAAGACACAGACGUUAAAACAGAUUUAUUAAGAUGUACACAGAACCAUAAUGGACAUUUACGUGAAGCUGAACAAAUGUGUGAAGGCAAAUGGUGGGAGGCAGAAGAAUUUGAACACAAUGUGCUAAGCAUUUGAACUGAAUUUCUGGAAGGAACAUAAUUGUUAGUGACAAAAAUUGGAGAAAAAUAGUGUAGUAGGGAGAAGUGCUGUAGGGUAUAACACAACUUUGUGCCUGAAUGCCUGACUUUUGAAGGCUGGCCAUGAAAAGGUCACACCUAGCAAAGGAAUAUACAUGAAAUCUUUCUUUGUCAGUCUGAGCAGGAUUUCCCAGCUAGAGGGAAAAAGGAUAUAUGUAUUAGAAAUCACUGGCACCAUCAAGUAAUCAGCAGCUACAAUAGCUCAUAGACAAAAUAACAUAUUGGUCAUUUGUUCAGCCAAAUGGAUCUAAUAAAUUGAGAAUCUGGAAAACUUAUUGAUCAAAUUUUGCAGCUCAGGACAGAUAAAACAAGUAAGUGAUUGGUUCUCGUUAACCAGGAGAGAACACGGUGAGAUGGGGGUGACUAGAGAGUAGUGUAAUGAAGGAAGCACUGACUCAUGACUGAAGACAUGGAUGCCUAUACAUAUCCUGUCCUAAUUCACUCUGUGACCUUGGCAAGUCACUGUAACUUUCUGGGCUUUCCUCCUCUUUCCAAGGAGAACAGUGUCUAUUCUUGGCCAGUGUGGAUACAUUUUGUCUAAUUUUCUAAUACUUUUGAAGAUCACAGCAAACAAACAAAUUUCCCUUUGGAAACUGUGCUAACCAAUGUGGUGAGGUAAAAAAUAUAAAUGUUUUUUCCGUGUAUCAAGAUAGUAAAAUUUUUGGUGAAUAUAUCUUCCAUAUCUUGAUGCACUCAGAACCAUUGUUGCUCACUAAGGUAGUAGCGCUGGAGGUGCAGAGUUUGAGAAGAAGCACUGGUGGUCCCAGACUAUGUUAACUACCUUUUUGACCACUGGACUGCUGGAGGAGUCAGACGAGGGUGAGAAUUAGAAGCUAUGACUGGGGUCAUCUAAAGGUGGCUCUGUAGAAUAGGGCAUGCUAUUGAGCCUUCAACAAAAAUGUCCCACUGCUAGCUUGGGUCUGAGUCCAUGAUGCUUAAACUUCAAGUUGUAUAUUUUUAGUGUUCGUCACUGUGGAAGAUCUUGAAACAAUUUAUGAUUGAGGCUUCGGCUUCCAAGUGUCACAUGGUUAUGCAUUGCAGGGAAUGUCUGCCAAUCAAAUAAUGUAUCUCAAUGGAUUUUUUUUUUUUUAAUUCUGGUGGUUUAAUCACCUUUCAUUACAAUUUACUGCAAAAUCUACUCUGGAAAGAAUGUUACAAAAAUAGAAAAAAGGUGUAUUUUCAGAAAAUUAUUCACAUAGUUAAGCCAGGUGAGCGAAAUUCUUGUGUUUAAAUGUCAUGUAAAAGACAAUGCUAACUUGACCUCCUUCAAUUUUCAUAUGGAAGCUUGUGAAGUUUGAGUAGGAUAAAGAGAAAUGUACCUUUUAUUCCUGAAGGCUUUUAGAAUCUGACUUUUGUAGACACUCAGUGUCUUCUCUUUGUAAUCUCAGGUUUUAUAGUCUCCAUUAUCAAUUGUGAGAGAUGUAGAAGUCUAGUUUAUAUCUUUCAGAAGGGACACCUGGGUCAACAGGUUGAAAGAACUUUGAAAGUUAUUUGUAUCUUUGCCAGUCAGUGCAUUGUGUGAGAAUCAGUGUAGCUAGUCUGUAAACUACCUUUGAAUAAGAGGCAGCAAAUGGAAUUUAUCAGGGGACAAUGCCCUUUGUUUAGAAGGAGCAACAAGAGAUGAAUAAAAGGACACAACGAGUCUUUGUGUUUAGUGUCCCAUUUUUCCAGAUAAAACAGGGGAUAAUAUUCAAUCUUGAUUGUGCACAGAGGCUUUUGGCACUUAAAGAGAUGGAAGAAGAAGGGAAAUGAAAAAGAAAUAAAGCAACCAAUAUGUUCUUGAACUGUGACUUCUAGCAGCUGCAUUUAAAAAACAACUAUUACAUUUUUUGAGUUUAUCUAUGAGGCUUAUCCAUUAUAUGUGCAAACACAAUCUGAUUAGUAUUUGUUAUAAGCUCUUCUUGUCUGCUUUUAUUACAGACAUCACCUUCAGAUGUGGGGCCACUGCAGCUAUUAAAUCAGGAAUAUUUAGCUAUUAUUUGUAAUAAAUGUCAGCAGGGCUGAACUGAAGCCAGCAGGAAAUGUUCGGGGCAGAAAACACACUGACAUUCAUUCAUGCAAAUUUGUACCACUGGUAGAAUUAAUCAUAAAGAGGGAGGGUAGAGCAGACAAUGCAUUUAUAUUACUGGUUUGGCCAAUAAUUCUCCUUCUUACUGAAUAUGAGAGUUGUAAUGAACAGAGAGCAAUCUGCUGACAAAUAGUCCUAUGUGAAGUGCAGGCAGCAAGAUUAACUUUCCAAAGCAGACAUGUUUAGGUUUAUAGUGUAUCACCCUUCCUUCCCUCCACAUGACCCCAGCCAUCUGAAACAGCUUUGUGGUGUCCUUUUUCCUCUUUAACAGACAUCUAGAAUCAACAUUCACACAACUCUUACCUCUUAAAAAUCACAGGGACACUCUAAAGAACAUUGAAUUUUGUUGAGUGCUCGACCAGACUUGCCCUAUUAUAUAACUCAGGAGGCUUACAUUACUCUGGGAAGCUAUGAUGAUAGGAACUUAGCUAUAUUGAUGAUUAAGAAACUGUGGUUUACCAAAAAGGAGAAAAAUUUAGAUCCUUUUUAAUCUGCCUCUGUGUAAAGUGAGGUGAAGCAACUCACACAACUGAUUGAAUCUCCUCAGAGAAGAUUGUAAUCAUCAUUAUCAAACAUAGCUAUUGCUUGAACUGAAUGUCAAGGAGUGUCAUUUAAUUCUAUGAGUGAGUAAAGUUAUAACCAGAAAAGGAUUAGUGCACUUAUUUUUAUAGAAAGGUGAGAAAAAUAUAAGAUGAAAGCAUACUUUAAAAUUUUUCUCAUUGCAUGAAAUUCUUAUUCAUUAGGAAACAAAAACUGCUGAAAGAGCUGACAUAAAAAGUAAGUGACUUCAAAGAUAUUAAUUCUUAUGGUGUUUUAGUCCUGUCAUUUGGAUAAAAAACCUGAAGAACAUGAAAUAGAAAUAUGCUUGGUAAAGUUAAUGCAAAAAUGCUUUAAAAACCAUAUCCUAAUAUUUAUAAAAAAUAAAGUCUUUUAAGAUGUUUCAUAUAUCAUGGAAGUCAAUUCAAAACUUUUCUGUAACAGUGUCAUUUUCCCUAGCCCUUCCCUUCCCCCUCUGCUGCCCUGCUGCUUUGAAUUGUGCACAUAUUCACAUAAUGCAUAUUAUAAACUGAAGUAUUUUUCUUAAUAAUUCUGAUCUCUGAUGCAAUUAUGUUUCUUGCAUUGUUUCUCUUAACGUAGGUUUUAGGAGAGAGCUUGCACAAGUCAAAUGGAAAAGGACAUUUCUGUUAAUCAAGUGAAAGUUGUACUAAAUAUAGCAGCUAAAUGGAAUGACUUAUGCUAUAAUUAGGGAGACCAGUGAUGGCAUCAAGGUGAGGGAUAGAAUAUAUUUUUGCCUAUGGGAUGUCUGCAGCACCAGUAGAGAAAGCUAGAGAAGCUGAUGCAGCAUUUGUAACUUCACAACUUUUCAAAACUGAGUUACUCUUUGUAACAAUGUCCUUAUGGUAUAAUUGUUGAUUUCAUGUCUUAUUCUAGAAUUGAUUUGCAGAAAUUGCAGUAACAUAUUAAAAAAAUAAAGUGAAUGAAAGAAAUAGAAAUUAAUGGCAACAGUAAACAUCUAUUUAUAGGAAUGGUCAAUGCAAGGGGAAAGAUAUUUACACUGCAGAUACAUAGACCAUUUGGCCUUACAAAGUUACUAAAGCUAAGUCAGAAUUUUAGCCUUGGAUCUCUUGGUGGCUAAAAAGAAAGAGCAAUAUGAUUCUUAUGUGAUUAGUUGUUUUUGUUUGUUUUGUCUUUUGUCUUUUUGAGGGCCACACCCAUGGCAUAUAGAGGUUCUCAGGCCAGGGGUUUAAUCAGACCUGUGGCCGCUGGCCUAUGCCACAGCCACAGCAAUGCCAGAUCCAAGCCUUGUCUGCUACCCACACCACAGCUCAUGGCAACGCUGGAUCUCCAACCCACUGAGCAAGGCCAGGGAUUGAACCCACAACCUCAUGGUUCCUAGUCGCAUUUGUUUCUGGUGCACCAUGAUGGGAACUCCCUCUUAUGUGAUUAGAAUUGUUGGAAAGAAGAAAGGGUAUUAGUAAUAUAUCUUGUUAAAUGCACUAAAUUUGUGGUAAUAUUGUUGUGCAGGAAUAGACAACUAAUGGGAAAAUGUAAGGAGAAAUCUUCAGUUUCUCUGUUGUUUUGGCCCUAAAACUGUUCUUUAUUUUUAAUUUAUCUUUGGGACCCAAGAAUUCUUUUUUCCACAUCAAAUUGCCUACAUAUCUUCCUCCUCUCACAAACAUGCUCCUUUUGCUUGCUAAAGACAGUUAUUUCAUAUUCUACUUUCUUCUCCCUUUUCCUCUUAAAAUGGUUCUCUAUUCCUAUACUCAAAGAAAAAUGAAUGAUCAGUCUUUGGAGAGACUACAUAAUAUUUUUCUCCUUCUAAAAGACUUUGAUAUUGCUUUAAAAGAUAAGGAUAGCACAGUUACGAAGUUUAAGUAUUAUAAUGAAUUUUAUAAUGGAGCUAAUAAAAUAGAGACCAGAUUGUUAUCUCAGGCUCUGUUUUAAGUGCUUACACAUUAACUUAUUUUACAUUAAUAAAAACUUUUUCCACGAAAAUAUUGAAACAGAGAGGUUAAGUAACUUUAAGGUCACACAUUUGUUAAGUGCAAAUUGUAAUCCAAUUCCAAGUAAUUUGGUUUCAGAAUCUGUACUUUUAACUACUGUGCCAUCCUGCUUCUUAAAUGCUGUUAGUAGAAGACAACUAUUAGAGUGGAAGUGAUUGGAUAUAAAGCUGAGUCUAACUUUCAUGGUGGUACUUGCAGAAGAUGAAAUACGCUAAGUCAUUUAAUUUUAAUUGUGUAACAAUGUAUUUAUGAAGUGGCCAUGAAUCAGCCUCCAUACGAUAAAAGGAGAUUCACAGAGUUGUAUUUGAUGCCACUUUUAGCUUUCCACUUGGGCAUAUAGCCCAAAUCACUUUUUCAUCAGGAGGCUCAUUUGAGUGCAAAUUUUGAUUGAUCCAAAGUUUAUUUAAGAAAGUAGCACUUGCUUGGAGUUGCUGUUGUGGUGCAGCAGAAAUGAAAUUGACCAGGAACCAUGAGGUUGAGGGUUUUAUCCCUGGCCUUGCUCGGUGGGUUAAGGAUCUGGUGUUGCCAUGAACUGUGGUGCAGAUGCAGCUUGGAUCUGGCAUUGCUGUAGCUGUAGUGUAGGCCAGUGGCUACAUGUCCUAUUUGACCCCUAGCCUGGGAACCUCCAUAUGCUGUUUGUGUGGUCC
Molecule: long non-coding RNA, 6342 nt
Filed under: Sus scrofa (pig)
Lineage: Eukaryota; Metazoa; Chordata; Mammalia; Artiodactyla; Suidae
Description: lncRNA (ENSSSCG00000057887.1)
Source: RNAcentral